Molecule: ribosomal RNA, 252 nt
Filed under: uncultured bacterium
Lineage: Bacteria
Description: partial 16S ribosomal RNA
Rfam family: Bacterial small subunit ribosomal RNA
Source: RNAcentral
UACGUAGGGAGCAAGCGUUGUUCGGAGUUACUGGGCGUAAAGGGUGCGUAGGCGGCUUUUAAGUUUGGUGUGAAAUCUCCCGGCUCAACUGGGAGGGUGCGCCGAAUACUGAGAGGCUAGAGUGUGGGAGAGGAAAGUGGAAUUCCUGGUGUAGCGGUGAAAUGCGUAGAUAUCAGGAGGAACACCGGUGGUGUAAACGGCUUUCUGGACCAUAACUGACGCUGAGGCACGAAAGCGUGGGUAGCAAACAGG